AGUGAACGCUGGCGGUAGGCCUAACACAUGCAAGUUGAACGGCAGCACAGAGGAGCUUGCUCCUUGGGUGGCGAGUGGCGGACGGGUGAGGAAUACAUCGGAAUCUACUCUGUCAUGGGGGAUAACGUAGGGAAACUUACGCUAAUACCGCAUACGACCUACGGGUGAAAGCAGGGGACCUUCGGGCCUUGCGCGAUUGAAUGAGCCGAUGUCGGAUUAGCGAGUUGGCGGGGUAAAGGCCCACCAAGGCGACGAUCCGUAGCUGGUCGGAGAGGAGGAUCAGCCACACUGGAACUGAGACACGGUCCAGACUCCUACGGGAGGCAGCAGUGGGGAAUAUUGGACAAUGGGCGCAAGCCUGAUCCAGCCAUACCGCGUGGGUGAAGAAGGCCUUCGGGUUGUAAAGCCCUUUUGUUGGGAAAGAAAUCCAGCUGGCUAAUACCCGGUUGGGAUGACGGUACCCAAAGAAUAAGCACCGGCUAACUUCGUGCCAGCAGCCGCCGCAG
RNAcentral lists this ribosomal RNA (506 nucleotides) under uncultured bacterium. Its description in RNAcentral is "partial 16S ribosomal RNA". It matches the Rfam family "Bacterial small subunit ribosomal RNA", at positions 29 to 523 of the family's 1533-position model. The record is from RNAcentral.